Long non-coding RNA from Aplysia californica (California sea hare), 496 nucleotides. RefSeq lists it as uncharacterized. NCBI's taxonomy places the organism in Eukaryota, Metazoa, Mollusca, Gastropoda, Aplysiida, Aplysiidae. The record is from RefSeq and is a predicted model, not a curated record. The transcript is spliced from 2 exons.
ACCCACUUUGGACAAUUUUAAGGGACAAAACUCUGCAAGUCAUUUGAGGAGAGUUUUGCCACUCAUGAUUAUUGAGUUACAUCCCCUGGACUUCCUUUUCCUAUUUCAUCUACUUUUGAACCUGUGGAUGUUGAACAGCAGCCUUCUCAAAGAGCAUCCUCAAGCAUCAGCAAAAAUGUUGAGGAAUUAUGUAAAGAAGAGAGCGCCAUACAGCAAGGAGGCAAUGCAGAAUGCAAUCGCAGCUGUGCAGUCUGGUACAAUGGGUUGCCAUCAACCUCAUCAACACCUACACCGUUGAGGCCAGUGACCCCAGUGGAACCAGCAACCAGACCCAGCAUAAAGGACUUUUUACUUUUUUAUUUAAAAAAUUUCCCCUAUGUUACAAGCCAAGAGAGAAAAAACCAACUGGAAAACUGUUAAACGCCAGUAUGGCGAAAGUUUGACCAGUUUUGAGUACAUUCAUUCAAAGAAUAUCAGAGGAGGAGGAGAAGAAGAA